AGUUGGGCACUCUAAGGUGACUGCCGGUGACAAACCGGAGGAAGGUGGGGAUGACGUCAAAUCAUCAUGCCCCUUAUGACCUGGGCUACACACGUGCUACAAUGGACGGUACAAAGAGCUGCAAGACCGCGAGGUGGAGCUAAUCUCAUAAAACCGUUCUCAGUUCGGAUUGUAGGCUGCAACUCGCCUACAUGAAGCUGGAAUCGCUAGUAAUCGCGGAUCAGCAUGCCGCGGUGAAUACGUUCCCGGGCCUUGUACACACCGCCCGUCACACCACGAGAGUUUGUAACACCCGAAGUCGGUGGGGUAACCUUUUUGGAGCCAGCCGCCUAAGGUGGGACAGAUGAUUGGGGUGAAGUCGUAACAAGGUAGCCGUAUCGGAAGGUGCGGCUGGAUCACCUCCUUU
This 406-nucleotide ribosomal RNA is filed under the name Bacillus anthracis (anthrax bacterium). Its description in RNAcentral is "bacterial SSU rRNA". It matches the Rfam family "Bacterial small subunit ribosomal RNA", at positions 1129 to 1533 of the family's 1533-position model. Lineage: Bacteria; Bacillati; Bacillota; Bacilli; Caryophanales; Bacillaceae. The record is from RNAcentral. RNAcentral also lists the same sequence under 6 other names.